This is a non-coding RNA of Pelobates cultripes (western spadefoot toad), 209 nucleotides long. Lineage: Eukaryota; Metazoa; Chordata; Amphibia; Anura; Pelobatidae. The record is from the annotation of a GenBank genome assembly.
CCGGGCUCCCUCGGCGCUGGGGACUCUCCUCCCUCUUCCGAUGUCAUCGGCUGAAUUCGCAUACCUGGCAAGAGCCGUGCGCGCAUUCAGCCAGUCCAUAGGAAAGCAUUCUCAAUGCUUUUCUAUGGAUGUCAGUGUCUUCUCACUGUGAUUUUCGUGGAAGCGCCUCUAGCGGCUGUCAAUGAAACUGCUAUGUUUACAGCAGGCAC